Acanthosepion pharaonis is the source of this 114-nucleotide non-coding RNA. Lineage: Eukaryota; Metazoa; Mollusca; Cephalopoda; Sepiida; Sepiidae. The record is from the annotation of a GenBank genome assembly.
UUACGGCCAUAUCACGUUGAAACACCACUUCUCGUACGAUCACCGAGGUUAAACAACGUUGGCUCUGGUCAAUACCUAGAUGGGUGGUCGCUUGGGAAUAAUAGGUGCUGUAAG